CAAUAGCGUAUAUUAAAGUUGUUGCAGUUAAAAAGCUCGUAGUUGGAUUUGUGGCGGUUCCUGUGGUCCUAUUCUGGUACUUUCGGGGACUGCCAUCUUUGGGUGGAUCCUGUGUGGCAUUAGGUUGUCGUGCAGGGGAUGCCCAUCGUUUACUGUGAAAAAAUUAGAGUGUUCAAAGCAGGCUUAUGCCGUUGAAUAUAUUAGCAUGGAAUAAUGAGAUAGGACCUUGGUACUAUUUUGUUGGUUUGCGCACCGAGGUAAUGAUUAAUAGGGACAGUUGUGGGUAUUCGUAUUCCAUUGUCAGAGGUGAAAUUCUUGGAUUUCUGGAAGACGAACGAAUGCGAAAGCAUUUACCAAGGAUGUUUUCAUUAA
RNAcentral lists this ribosomal RNA (372 nucleotides) under uncultured eukaryote. RNAcentral describes it as "partial 18S ribosomal RNA". It matches the Rfam family "Eukaryotic small subunit ribosomal RNA", at positions 592 to 976 of the family's 1831-position model. The record is from RNAcentral.